UCCUGGAGGACAAUAACAGCAGCAAGUGUGAGUGAGCAACAAUGGAGGCCGGUGAGCAGAUGGGACUCCUCGGUCGCUGGGUCGACCCAUGCCACUCAGACAAGCACCUCACCCAGGAGCCGGAGGGCGAGCAGUCCGACUUGCCCAACAAGACGCUCUUCCUGCUCGUCAUCGGGGUGACCUACGCGGUCAUGGUGCUGUGCGCCUUCGUCAUUGUCUACGAGUUUAUUUACAACCGCCCACAGCAGUAGGACUACGGUGACCGCGCGGAACAUUCUCUGUUGUUCCCGCCACGGAGCUGAGGAAUCAAGAGAGAGGUGUCGCGCUCGCCGCAAUCAGAGUCUUUCGGAAAGUCUCAUCCAGAACCAGGUGAAGUUCAGCUCAAGUUCAAGGCAGCCGGCAGUCCGGUCAAAAAUGACGCAACCUGAACACCCUGAAGAGGCCCUAAUCUCAGAGAAUAGUUUUUAUCGCUGUAGGAAAUGAGAACACCGCAGUGAACCUGC
Long non-coding RNA from Dermacentor albipictus, 503 nucleotides. RefSeq lists it as uncharacterized. The record is from RefSeq and is a predicted model, not a curated record. Lineage: Eukaryota; Metazoa; Arthropoda; Arachnida; Ixodida; Ixodidae.